CCUACGGGUGGCUGCAGUGGGGAAUAUUGGACAAUGGGGGCAACCCUGAUCCAGCCAUGCCGCGUGUGUGAAGAAGGCCCUCGGGUUGUAAAGCACUUUCAGUGAGGAAGAACGCCUGGUGGUUAAUACCCAUCAGGAAAGACAUCACUCACAGAAGAAGCACCGGCUAACUCCGUGCCAGCAGCCGCGGUAAUACGGAGGGUGCGAGCGUUAAUCGGAAUUACGGGGCGUAAAGCGCGCGUAGGUGGCUUGAUAAGCCGGUUGUGAAAGCCCCGGGCUCAACCUGGGAACGGCAUCCGGAACUGUCAAGCUAGAGUGCAGGAGAGGAAGGUAGAAUUCCCGGUGUAGCGGUGAAAUGCGUAGAGAUCGGGAGGAAUACCAGUGGCGAAGGCGGCCUUCUGGACUGACACUGACACUGAGGUGCGAAAGCGUGGGUAGCAAACAGGAUUAGAUACCCUGGUAGUC
This 465-nucleotide ribosomal RNA is filed under the name Vreelandella stevensii. RNAcentral describes it as "partial 16S ribosomal RNA". It matches the Rfam family "Bacterial small subunit ribosomal RNA", at positions 338 to 795 of the family's 1533-position model. Lineage: Bacteria; Pseudomonadati; Pseudomonadota; Gammaproteobacteria; Oceanospirillales; Halomonadaceae. The record is from RNAcentral.